This 254-nucleotide ribosomal RNA is filed under the name uncultured microorganism. Its description in RNAcentral is "partial 16S ribosomal RNA". It matches the Rfam family "Archaeal small subunit ribosomal RNA", at positions 474 to 727 of the family's 1478-position model. The record is from RNAcentral.
CACCGGCGGCUCGAGUGGUGGCCCCUUUUAUUGGGUCUAAAGCGUCCGUAGCCGGCUUGGCAAGUCCCCUGGGAAAUCUGGCGGCUUAACCGUCAGGCGUCCAGAGGAUACUGCCAGGCUUGGGACCGGGAGAGGUGAGAGGUACCUCAGGGGUAGGGGUGAAAUCUUGUGAUCCCUGAGGGACCACCAGUGGCGAAGGCGUCUCACUAGAACGGGUCCGACGGUCAGGGACGAAAGCUGGGGGCACGAACCGG